RNAcentral lists this ribosomal RNA (1388 nucleotides) under metagenome. RNAcentral's name for it is "bacterial SSU rRNA". It matches the Rfam family "Bacterial small subunit ribosomal RNA". The record is from RNAcentral.
AGAGUUUGAUCCUGGCUCAGAUUGAACGCUGGCGGCAUGCCUUACACAUGCAAGUCGAACGGUAACGCGGGGGCAACCCUGGCGACGAGUGGCGAACGGGUGAGUAAUACAUCGGAACAUAUCCAGUAGCGGGGGAUAACCUAUCGAAAGAUGGACUAAUACCGCAUACGAUCUACAGAUGAAAGCAGGGGACCGCAAGGCCUUGCACUAUUGGAGUGGCCGAUGUCGGAUUAGCUAGUUGGUGAGGUAAAGGCUUACCAAGGCGACGAUCCGUAGCUGGUCUGAGAGGACGAUCAGCCACACUGGGACUGAGACACGGUCCAGACUCCUACGGGGGGCAGCAGUGGGGAAUUUUGGACAAUGGGCGCAAGCCUGAUCCAGCCAUGCCGCGUGAGUGAAGAAGGCCUUCGGGUUGUAAAGCUCUUUCGGUGAAGACGAAACGGUUAGCGCUAAUAACGCUGACUAUGACGGUACUCACAGAAGAAGCACCGGCUAACUACGUGCCAGCAGCCGCGGUAAUACGUAGGGUGCAGGCGUUAAUCGGAAUUACUGGGCGUAAAGCGUGCGCAGGCGGUUUGCUAAGACAGGUGUGAAAUCCCCGAGCUUAACUUGGGAAUUGCGCUUGUAACUGGCAAGCUAGAGUGUGGCAGAGGGGGGUGGAAUUCCACGUGUAGCAGUGAAAUGCGUAGAUAUGUGGAGGAACACCGAUGGCGAAGGCAGCCCCCUGGGUUAACACUGACGCUCAUGCACGAAAGCGUGGGGAGCAAACAGGAUUAGAUACCCUGGUAGUCCACGCCCUAAACUAUGUCAACUAGUUGUCGGGGAAGAAAUUCCUUGGUAACGAAGCUAACGCGUGAAGUUGACCGCCUGGGGAGUACGGCCGCAAGGUUAAAACUCAAAGGAAUUGACGGGGACCCGCACAAGCGGUGGAUUAUGUGGAUUAAUUCGAUGCAACGCGAAAAACCUUACCUACCCUUGACAUGCUAGGAAGCCCGCAGAGAUGUGGGUGUGCCCGAAAGGGAACCUAGACACAGGUGCUGCAUGGCUGUCGUCAGUUCGUGUCGUGAGAUGUUGGGUUAAGUCCCGCAACGAGCGCAACCCUUGCCAUUAGUUGCUACAUUCAGUUGGGCACUCUAAUGGGACCGCCGGUGACAAACCGGAGGAAGGUGGGGAUGACGUCAAGUCCUCAUGGCCCUUAUGGGUAGGGCUUCACACGUAAUACAAUGGUCGGUACAGAGGGCUGCCAACCCGCAAGGGGGAGCUAAUCCCAGAAAGCCGAUCGUAGUCCGGAUUGUAGUCUGCAACUCGACUGCAUGAAGCCGGAAUCGCUAGUAAUCGCGGAUCAGCAUGUCGCGGCGAGUACGUUCCCGGGUCUUGUACACACCGCC